GAUGAACGCUGGCGGCGUGCCUAAUACAUGCGAGUCGAGCGAACAGACGAGGAGCUUGCUCCUCUGACGUUAGCGGCGGACGGGUGAGUAACACGUGGAUAACCUACCUAUAAGACUGGGAUAACUUCGGGAAACCGGAGCUAAUACCGGAUAAUAUAUUGAACCGCAUGGUUCAAUAGUGAAAGACGGUUUUGCUGUCACUUAUAGAUGGAUCCGCGCCGCAUUAGCUAGUUGGUAAGGUAACGGCUUACCAAGGCAACGAUGCGUAGCCGACCUGAGAGGGUGAUCGGCCACACUGGAACUGAGACACGGUCCAGACUCCUACGGGAGGCAGCAGUAGGGAAUCUUCCGCAAUGGGCGAAGGCCUGACGGAGCAACGCCGCGUGAGUGAUGAAGGUCUUCGGAUCGUAAAACUCUGUUAUUAGGGAAGAACAAAUGUGUAAGUAACUAUGCACGUCUUGACGGUACCUAAUCAGAAAGCCACGGCUAACUGCGUG
This 497-nucleotide ribosomal RNA is filed under the name uncultured bacterium. Its description in RNAcentral is "partial 16S ribosomal RNA". It matches the Rfam family "Bacterial small subunit ribosomal RNA", at positions 28 to 507 of the family's 1533-position model. The record is from RNAcentral.